RNAcentral lists this long non-coding RNA (1583 nucleotides) under Hordeum vulgare. RNAcentral's name for it is "long non-coding RNA (HVUL_LNC017609)". The record is from RNAcentral. Lineage: Eukaryota; Viridiplantae; Streptophyta; Magnoliopsida; Poales; Poaceae.
AAAUGCUAGCAGACGGUUCAGCAAACCGUCAACCGGACGAAACUUUCUCCCAACCUUUUUGCGUAAAGAAGAUGAAAUUAAGGCAUUAUUUCAACUAACAAUAAGGUACGAUCACCGACAAGAUUUCAAAAGUUUAAAAAGUCAUUCGUGAUUGUGCACUUUUAUUUUCGUUUACAAUCUCAAUUGAAAUAACUUUGUUGCAAUAAUUACUUCAAAACAUAGGUACCAUUAAUCAUUGUAUAAUUAGCAAGCCUACUGUGAUAAAGGUUUAUUUUCUCGAUUCCUAUUUUUUGUCAGUAGGUACCGUAAAAACCGGUUUCCCGAAAAUCUUGCUUUUUCCAGACUUUUUUUUGCCUGAAUUUUUCAAAUGAAUUUUGAAUUCAAUUUUCUAAUCAAAAUAUAAAUUAUUUUAAUCCUUAGUUACAGAACGUCGUCACUAUUCAAGUGGUCAGCGUGUCUUUCCAUCAUUCGUAAGAUCACGGGUUCGAACCACCAAUCAUGCUAUGCCCUAUAAUUUUGUUGUCUGAACAACAAAACACUAAUAAAUUUCGGUUUGCUAAACUAUCUUGCGACGCCCCGAAACUACCGUGAACGCUUUAAUAGCAAGAGAUAAGACAUAUAUACCUUCUAAUAGAAUAACCAUACAUACCCUAAUUGACAUAACUUAGGCGUUCAAAUUCAAAAGUUUUGUUCGGCAUCAAUUUUUUCGGUGGGUAGCGGUAGCGCCAGUUUUUGAGCGGUUUCCAAAAACACCAACCAAGAAAAAAAAUUAAUUGAGACUGAUAAUCUCAAAGGCUUCGUUCAAGAAUUGUAAUUGUGUGUGCAGGUGUUGUUCAUUGAUCUUAGUCCAAAUACUCCGGCUGGUUCGAUAAAUCUUACGGUCAUCCACUUGGUAGAAAUUGUUGCUUACUUACAAACAUUUGCACUAUGGGCCCAACAACUUCUAGAAUAGAGGAAGCACGGUCGCACGGAGGGCGCUCCUACUCCAGCUCCAGAUCCAGAAUCCUGCACCCAAGGGCAGGGAGAAGCCCGUUGAUGAUGUAGCUGCCUAGUGUAUGCUCUGUCACCAUCGGCGACAACUAACCUCCUCUUCGUCAUUCGCUGAAGGCGUCAGUGGAAAAGCAGCGGCAACUUUUGCCAUUUUGAGCUUCCUUAUCUCGGAGGACAUGGUGCGAGAUUUGUCAGGAAGAUUGAGGGGUUUGGCACGAUUGGAGGAAGUCGCAAGCGCGAUCUGCGGUUACAAUUGGAAUGGCAAAGAAAAAGUAGAAGAUUGAGGACUGGUUUAGAUCCUCCCACCCCCCCCCCCCCCCCCUUCAAUUUAAUGGUCUGAAAUUCUAAUUGUCCUGGAGAUCCCGCCAUACACGUGGCAACAUCUUGAAGCCCAAACGGCAACAUCACGCACUUCUGCGCGAAAGUCAAGGCGUCGUCACCGACCAGACAUUUCCCCAGGCAAGUGUUCAAUUGGUCACAGAGCAUCUCUCAUGUAGUAUUCGAGAAGAUAUAGCUAAGAGCAAAUGCAAUAGUAUAGCCAGCUGCUGGCUAUAAGACAUUGACAUGUCAUCUAUAGCCCGUCUUAUAGCCAA